GCCCGGGUGGCGGAACUGGUGUACGCGGCGGACUUAAAAUCCGUAGCCCUUAAUCGGGCUUGUGGGUUCAAAUCCCACCCCGGGCA
RNAcentral lists this transfer RNA (86 nucleotides) under Candidatus Microgenomates bacterium. RNAcentral's name for it is "tRNA-Leu". It matches the Rfam family "tRNA". Rfam says of the family: Transfer RNA (tRNA) molecules are approximately 80 nucleotides in length. Their secondary structure includes four short double-helical elements and three loops (D, anti-codon, and T loops). Lineage: Bacteria; Candidatus Microgenomatota. The record is from RNAcentral.